GAGCAUUUGUGACUAUUCUAUUACUCUGACCUCCCAGGACUGGACCUACAGAGACAUCUGGGAUUUUCUGCGUCAGCUGUUUGUCCCAUACUGUAUCCUGUAUGACCGAGGAUACACAUCACUGGGGAGUCGGGAGAAUACCGUGCGGAACCCGGCCCUGAAGUGCCUGAGCCCAGGAGGACACCCCACAUACCGUCCAGCCUAUCUACUGGAGAAUGAAGAAGAGGAGCGGAACUCCCGCACAUGACCUCCCACCCUAGGAGGGAGGGAAGGACACUAUCCUAGGGUAUAAGCUGGCAAUAAACCGUGCCUCUC
Molecule: long non-coding RNA, 315 nt
Filed under: Pan troglodytes (chimpanzee)
Lineage: Eukaryota; Metazoa; Chordata; Mammalia; Primates; Hominidae
Description: long non-coding RNA NONPTRT000479
Source: RNAcentral